CGUAGGUGCAAGCGUUGUCCGGAAUUAUUGGGCGUAAGAGCUCGUAGGCGGUCUGUCGCGUCGGCUGUGAAACUCGGGGCUCAACCCCGAGCCUGCAGUCGAUACGGGCAGACUAGAGUGCUGUAGGGAGACUGGAAUUCCUGGUGUAGCGGUGAAAUGCGCAGAUAUCAGGAGGAACACCGGUGGCGAAGGCGGGUCUCUGGGCAGUAACUGACGCUGAGGAGCGAAAGCGUGGGAGCAAACAGGAUU
Molecule: ribosomal RNA, 249 nt
Filed under: uncultured bacterium
Lineage: Bacteria
Description: partial 16S ribosomal RNA
Rfam family: Bacterial small subunit ribosomal RNA
Source: RNAcentral